GCUCAUUGCUAGUAUCUCCAUAUCUGGAAGAUAGUUUUGGAUUAUAUCCAUAGUUCUCUAUGUGGAUUUUUAUAAAGUGCCUGUGUUUAUCGUGGACAAAGCUCAUUAUUUUGCAACAUCUAAGCUUUUUGGAUGUGUUGAGGUGACAAUGUAUGACAAAAAAUAGAGCUAGGGGGCCGGCCCCAU
Non-coding RNA from Ceratotherium simum simum (southern white rhinoceros), 186 nucleotides. The record is from RefSeq and is a predicted model, not a curated record. NCBI's taxonomy places the organism in Eukaryota, Metazoa, Chordata, Mammalia, Perissodactyla, Rhinocerotidae.